GAGUUUGAUCGUGGCUCAGGAUGAACGCUAGCGGCAGGCUUAAUACAUGCAAGUCGAGGGGCAGCAGGACUGUAGCAAUACAGUUGCUGGCGACCGGCAAACGGGUGCGGAACACGUACGCAAUCUACCCGAAACUGGGGCAUAGCCCGGGGAAACCCGGAUUAAUACCCCGUAACACUUUGAAGUGGCAUCACUUUAUAGUUAUAGCUCCGGCGGUUUUGGAUGAGCGUGCGGCUGAUUAGGUAGUUGGCGGGGUAACGGCCCACCAAGCCUACGAUCAGUAACUGGUGUGAGAGCACGACCAGUCACACGGGCACUGAGACACGGGCCCGACUCCUACGGGAGGCAGCAGUAAGGAAUAUUGGUCAAUGGACGCAAGUCUGAACCAGCCAUGCCGCGUGGAGGAUGAAGGCCCUCUGGGUUGUAAACUUCUUUUAUAGGGGACGAAACCUCUUUUUCUUGAGAGACUGACGGUACCCUAGGAAUAAGCACCGGCUAACUCCGUGCCAGCAGCCGCAGU
This 520-nucleotide ribosomal RNA is filed under the name uncultured Sphingobacterium sp. RNAcentral's name for it is "bacterial SSU rRNA". It matches the Rfam family "Bacterial small subunit ribosomal RNA", at positions 9 to 521 of the family's 1533-position model. Lineage: Bacteria; Pseudomonadati; Bacteroidota; Sphingobacteriia; Sphingobacteriales; Sphingobacteriaceae. The record is from RNAcentral.